UCAGAUUUUCCAUGUUAAUCUUUUCAAAAUUUCUAUUAAUCCUCUUAAUCACAACUAAUCACAGUAAAUCAAAUUAGAGUUCAUGUUAAUCAAGAUAAACCAAAUAGAAAGGGAUUAGGUUUACGUUCUUGUGACGCAUCAGAUUCUUUGAGAAACUUCCUUCUCUUCACAAAACGCAACGGCGGCCGAAGACUAAUUCUCCGAUUCACCUCUCCCUUCUCCGCCGUGAACGAUCGAACAAGCUAUCGGCUCAUCCCCUCACGUCACUCAUCUUUCUGUCUCUUUAGCUCACUCUGUUUCGACGCGGCUCUCUUGUGUCUGCUCACAUCUCUCUGUUAGGUCUCUUUCUCGGUUCAAUUCUGUUGGAGCUUGUCCGAUGAUUCUUUGAAUCCGGUGGAGAUGAUGAAAGAAAAUCCACGAAAUAAACGUGGAAGACGACUUCAAGAAAUCAGAUUCACCAUGUUCUGAAGCGUUGUUGUUGCAGUUUGCAGAUGAAGAUUGAAGGAUUCAGAUGCGUUGUUGAUGAAGGUGAUGAUGAACUGAUAUUGAAUAUGGUGAAGAUUCAAGAAUAUGGAGAUUUUUCUUGAGUUUUUGAUGCAGAAUCGAUGAAGAGUUUUUUAUGGUUGUUGAAUUGAGAGAGGAGGAUUGAAGAUGAUAAAGAUUGUGUUGGUGAUUUGUUUUGUGAUUGGUGUAGUAAUCGACAUAUUGAACUGAGGGAGAAUUGAAGAUUUUCUGUUAUGGUUCUAUUGAUUGAUGAAGAUGAGUAGAGAGAGUUUGGUUGAGAGAGAGUGAAGAUGAUGAAUUCUGGAGAAGAUUGAUGGAGAGAAUCGAGAGAGUUGGUUACAGGUUCUCUUUCUUUUCUGUUAUUUUUUAUCCUUCUUCUGUUAUGCUACUCUGAUUCUGUUACGUGUUUUUUCUCCUUUUCUUUUGUGCUGCUGGUUCAUUUUUACUCGAACCGAAACCGGUUCGGUUUAUUUGUAGGUCCGAUUCACUUAUGAUACAAGUUUUCUGAUUGAAUAUGCAACCAUGUGAAUCUCCUCUUUUCUCUUAUGUAUCAACAUUGCUUGGUUUAUUACCGUAGGUCAGGAAUUAUUUCCGUGAACCGGUUUUAUGUUGCAGAGCCAUUGGUUAUUUGCAGAGGUGUUUGGAUACGGUAGAUGCGUGUCCACAGGUUUUGAGCCGUUGAUCUGUUACGUGUAACUUUUUAUUGACAUUGGUUUUGGAUUUGAAUGGACUUUUAGCUUUGCAGCAAUGACUUUUCUUUUGUAA
Vicia villosa (hairy vetch) is the source of this 1269-nucleotide long non-coding RNA. RefSeq lists it as uncharacterized. Lineage: Eukaryota; Viridiplantae; Streptophyta; Magnoliopsida; Fabales; Fabaceae. The record is from RefSeq and is a predicted model, not a curated record. The transcript has 2 exons.